UUCAGAUUCUCUUCAUCAUCAGAAAACAUGACCAAUGGCCUGUGGCUAAGCUCUACAGAGAAAAAGGCCAGCAGAAUUACAUAAGGCUUGCUAAAUGGAGCCCAUGACAACAUCUAAGUAAGAGCCAACUCACUCACAGCCCAUCCAGGGAACUUCAACAAAAUGAAGAUGAGGCCUCAAGGAGUUACUCAGCUUGCUCAAGAUCACAGAAUUGGUGAAGCUAGUAUUCCACACUCAUAUUCUAAGGUUCCAGUCAAUGUUUGCCAAUCAAAAAACAGGCACAGAGAUGAUAGUUACUUGCCUGAAGUUCAUACAGCUGGACAUUAGCAACAUUGAAAUAUUAAUCUCCUAAGGGGAGGAACCAGGACUUGUUACCCUUGGUAAGCAUCCCACAACCAACCUCUGGUAGGUACUCAGCCAUGUAAAGAAUGAAAAGACAAAGAGAAAUAUUCCAAAGCCCUGGAAUCUGUUUUUCAGUGAACUAUGUAAUAUUGUAACUGAAAGAUUAAAAUCAUGGU
This is a non-coding RNA of Ictidomys tridecemlineatus (thirteen-lined ground squirrel), 518 nucleotides long. The record is from RefSeq and is a predicted model, not a curated record. NCBI's taxonomy places the organism in Eukaryota, Metazoa, Chordata, Mammalia, Rodentia, Sciuridae.